This 566-nucleotide long non-coding RNA is filed under the name Equus asinus (donkey). RNAcentral describes it as "lncRNA (ENSEASG00005023881.1)". The record is from RNAcentral. Lineage: Eukaryota; Metazoa; Chordata; Mammalia; Perissodactyla; Equidae.
CCAGGCUGAGGCCCCACCAGCAUGGAUCAGCACAGCUCCUUGGGUGUGUAACUGGAGUCUCUUCUGAUUGUCUGGUGCCUGUGUCAUUCCAGUUGUUCAGGGUUUGGAUACCAAUUCUGGGGAACUAAACCUCUGAGAGCUAAACUGGUGGAAUAUAACACAGAAAUGGAUGCAACGAGCUAUCUGCAGAAACAACCCCCAAGAGUUCUCGUAAAGAUGGAGGAAGAAGCCACAGGCCAAGAACGCUGCUGGCCUCCAGCAGCUGGAAAAGGCAAGGAAACAGAUUCUCCCCUAAGUCCUCCGGAAGCAACGCAGCCCUGCUGACACCUCGAUUUCGGCCUGGAAGCUUGUCUGCUGGAGUCCUCCUCCAACCGUUCUCUGCUCCUUCCAAUGAGAUCAUUGUUUUGCUAACAAGUUUUGGGGUGGAAAAGAGUUCUGUGAAUUUGUUCCAGAAUAGAUAGUGUCAAUUUAACUGAGGCUCGCUCUUUGAUUAUGGAGUUGUCCCUCAACCUGAAACAAAACCAACUUCCCCGUUCGACCAUAUCCCUCUUCUCGCCUCUCUUUUA